Molecule: long non-coding RNA, 303 nt
Filed under: Setaria viridis
Lineage: Eukaryota; Viridiplantae; Streptophyta; Magnoliopsida; Poales; Poaceae
Description: long non-coding RNA (SVIR_LNC002552)
Source: RNAcentral
GGGGCUAUGGUGAUCAUGUCAGGUAGAAGCAGCUGGAGACGGUGGUAGUAGAAGCGACAUAGAACGUCUAUCUUUAAACAACUAUUUUGUACCUUUAUUUCAAAUGUUUGCCAAACAUGCAAUGUUCGGGACCCAUGACAUUCUGUUGUACGUACCCUCUGGUUCAUGCAUCGAAUGGUUCGAGAUGGAUGGUGAUCCUUAUAUUUAGUUGGAUGAACUAUACCAACUCAUCCAAGAUGAAACCAUUCCACCUAAACUAAUUUUCUACUACUAAGUAAUGAACCAUAUGGUUCAAGAAAUCUG